This is a non-coding RNA of Arachis ipaensis, 673 nucleotides long. The record is from RefSeq and is a predicted model, not a curated record. NCBI's taxonomy places the organism in Eukaryota, Viridiplantae, Streptophyta, Magnoliopsida, Fabales, Fabaceae.
ACCGGACCGGUCAUCAAACCGUUUUAGUCACUGGUUCAUUGGUUCACUGGUCUAAUCGGUCUAACCGAGGUUCAACCGGAAAAACCGUUCCAUAAUAAAAUAAUAAAUAAAUUAUAAAUAAACAUCCUAAGUAUCUUUCAAAUUUAAAACCCUACGUAAAAUAUCACCAACUAAAUGUAAUUAAUCACCAAAAUAUGCAAUAACUUGCUGCAAAUUUGUGGACAAUUAACAUAAUUAUACUUCCAUUAAGAAUAGCUGGAUUGAAUUACAAUGCACAAGUUAAAGAUAGAGAAUAUUGUCUUAAUGUAGCUAAGUCAAAAAGUAAAACAAAAAAUGAUAAUGUUGCACAAUAAACACAAAACAGAGCCCGAAACAAACACAACACAACAAAGCCUGAAACAAAAAGAAUCCAACACGGAGGAGGGGUAGCAAGUCCACGGAGAUCAAGAACAGGGACAGUGCAACCAAACAAUGAAAACAGAAUUUUGUUUAUAUAACAAAACAAUCAAAACAUGAAUCAUACAAUCACUAAUUGCAAAUUUUUUCUUCAUAAGAACAGAACAAUGAAAACAUGAAGCAUAUAAUAAAUCAAAAGAUCACCAAUUGCAAAUCUUUUAAUAAGAACAGAAGUUAGAACAGUGAAAAAUGAAGAAAGAUUAACAAAUGCAAGAUU